Molecule: ribosomal RNA, 824 nt
Filed under: Halodiatrype halophila
Lineage: Eukaryota; Fungi; Ascomycota; Sordariomycetes; Xylariales; Diatrypaceae
Description: Cryptosphaeria sp. MD-2018b partial large subunit ribosomal RNA
Rfam family: Eukaryotic large subunit ribosomal RNA
Source: RNAcentral
ACAGGGAUUGCCCUAGUAACGGCGAGUGAAGCGGCAACAGCUCAAAUUUGAAAUCUGGCCCUCGGGCCCGAGUUGUAAUUUGUAGAAGAUGCUUUGGGCGCGGUGCCUUCCGAGUUCCUUGGAACAGGACGCCUUAAAGGGUGAGAGCCCCGUACGGUUGGACACCAAGCCCGUGUAAAGCUCCCUCGACGAGUCGAGUAGUUUGGGAAUGCUGCUCUAAAUGGGAGGUAAAUUUCUUCUAAAGCUAAAUACCGGCCAGAGACCGAUAGCGCACAAGUAGAGUGAUCGAAAGAUGAAAAGUACUUUGAAAAGAGGGUUAAAUAGCACGUGAAAUUGUUGAAAGGGAAGCGUUUGUGACCAGACCUGGGCCUGGCGGAUCAUCCGGUGUUCCUCACCGGUGCACUUCGCCCGGCCUAGGCCAGCAUCGAUUUCCGCCGGGGGACAAAGGCCGCGGGAACGUACCUCCCUUCGGGGAGUGUUAUAGCCCUAGGCGUAAUGCCCUGGCGGGGAUCGAGGUUCGCGCUCCGGCAAGGAUGCUGGCGUAAUGGUCAUCAACGACCCGUCUUGAAACACGGACCAAGGAGUCGAACAUUUGUGCGAGUGUUUGGGUGUUAAACCCUCACGCGUAAUGAAAGUGAACGGAGGUGAGAGCCCUCGGGCGCAUCAUCGACCGAUCCUGAUGUCUUCGGAUGGAUUUGAGUAAGAGCAUAACUGUUCGGACCCGAAAGAUGGUGAACUAUGCGUGGAUAGGGUGAAGCCAGAGGAAACUCUGGUGGAGGCUCGCAGCGGUUCUGACGUGCAAAUCGAUCGUCAAAUCUGCGCAU